Molecule: long non-coding RNA, 314 nt
Filed under: Pogona vitticeps (central bearded dragon)
Lineage: Eukaryota; Metazoa; Chordata; Lepidosauria; Squamata; Agamidae
Description: lncRNA (ENSPVIG00000008479.1)
Source: RNAcentral
AUAACUUCUUCAUUUUUAUUUAAUACAGCAGAAAGCACUACAAUUUCGACAACUACUCCUACCACUACCACCACAGGAAGCACUACGACAACUCCCCCUUCCACUCCCACCACAGGACGUCCAACUUGUAAUGCUCAGACCUGUCCAUAUGGAGCUACGUGCGUCCCUCUAUUCAAUGACACCGUCUGCCAGUGUCCGUAUGGAUUCUACUAUUCACCAAAAAGCUGUGAGCUAGGUGAGUUGCAUGACUUGAACCAGCAGAAAUGUAUCAUGCUUCUAUGUUGGGACCUUUUUGUUAUGGCAACUCUGACACU